CCAUUGUUUUGUUUUUGGUAAAAUUUGAGACCAUCCUUUUUUUAUUGAAAUGUUGAGACCAUCCUUUAACAUGUUGAUUUAUUUAAAAAAAUAUUGGAAGUCUUAAACGACCAAAGCAUUGGAAAUAGGAGAUUAAUUAAGGCUUUAGACUAUCAAAACAUGCUUCCAUUAUUCUUCUUGAAAAAUAUUGGGAACCCACAAGCCUUUAACAAAUCCAAUUUCCCAACUACCCACUAAUUUUUCUUGCAUCAGGGAUUCAGGUUUGAAUCUAUGCUUAUAUAUCUACUAUAUAAUUGUGAAAUCUAGGGCACCAACAUAGGCGUGGAAUCUGUGCUUAUCCAUUGCGAAGACUGAGGUCAAAGUCGCCAGAAAAAUUCCAAACACUAGCAAGUUUCAUGGAAAGUUCGGAAGCAUCAAAGCCCAAAGGAGACCUCCAAACCUGUUGUACCCAAGGAACUAAGUCCCAGUGGUUGAUGGGAUGAAAGAUGAUCGUCGGUGCCCAUUGGUUUUACAAACUGAAUCCUUAAUCUCUGAGAUUUUCUGUUGAUCUCCCUGCACAUAACAAUGCCCAUGAAGUCAAUCCUGCAAAUGGUGCUAAGGUUAACCCAAAUGAUCAAAAUAAGAGUGAUGGAGAAUAGUGGAAAUGCUCUCACAAAUAAUUUAGAAGUAGUCUUCAAAUUAAGAAUAAUCUUAUGUUUAAUCAGAUCCUUUUGUACUUCUUUUUCCAUUGAGUGAUGAGUUUUUUUUAUAUGAUAAUUUUUUUUUAUUUGAGUGAAUAAUAAUGAAAGUCAUUUUUAUCUCAUGGCAGGUUUUACUAUUUGCAAGAAGUUUAUUCAUAUUUGUAUUGUACUUGAAAGGGCUUACUUGAUUAAUGUAAUUUUAGUUAAGGGUAAGCAAGAAAUAGCUUACCUAAUUUAUUUUAGUUUUGAAUUAUUUUAUGCACUAAAAAAACUAUUAUUAAUGACUAAUUCAAAUUGGACUCCCACUAAUAUU
Lotus japonicus is the source of this 993-nucleotide long non-coding RNA. RefSeq lists it as uncharacterized. The transcript is spliced from 4 exons. The record is from RefSeq and is a predicted model, not a curated record. NCBI's taxonomy places the organism in Eukaryota, Viridiplantae, Streptophyta, Magnoliopsida, Fabales, Fabaceae.